GUGGGGAAUAUUGGACAAUGGGGGGAACCCUGAUCCAGCCAUGCCGCGUGUGUGAAGAAGGCCUUUUGGUUGUAAAGCACUUUAAGCGAGGAGGAGGCUACCGAGAUUAAUACUCUUGGAUAGUGGACGUUACUCGCAGAAUAAGCACCGGCUAACUCUGUGCCAGCAGCCGCGGUAAUACAGAGGGUGCAAGCGUUAAUCGGAUUUACUGGGCGUAAAGCGCGCGUAGGUGGCAAAUUAAGUCAAAUGUGAAAUCCCCGAGCUUAACUUUGGAGUUGCAUUCGAUACUGGUUGGCUAGCGUAUGGGAGAGGAUGGUAGAAUUCCAGGUGUAGCGGUGAAAUGCGUAGAGAUCUGGAGGAAUACCGAUGGCGAAGGCAGCCAUCUGGCCUAAUACUGACACUGAGGUGCGAAAGCAUGGGGAGCAAACAGGAUUAGAAACCCCAGUAGUCC
RNAcentral lists this ribosomal RNA (451 nucleotides) under uncultured bacterium. RNAcentral's name for it is "bacterial SSU rRNA". It matches the Rfam family "Bacterial small subunit ribosomal RNA", at positions 354 to 796 of the family's 1533-position model. The record is from RNAcentral.